RNAcentral lists this ribosomal RNA (503 nucleotides) under uncultured bacterium. RNAcentral describes it as "partial 16S ribosomal RNA". It matches the Rfam family "Bacterial small subunit ribosomal RNA", at positions 28 to 505 of the family's 1533-position model. The record is from RNAcentral.
GACGAACGCUGGCGGCGUGCUUAACACAUGCAAGUCGAACGGUGAAGCGCUUGCCUUUUUGGUGGGUGUGGAUGAGUGGCGAACGGGUGAGUAACACGUGAGUAACCUGCCCUCUUCUUCUGGAUAACCUCAUGAAAGUGGGGCUAAUACGGGGUAUUCCGGGUCUGUCGCAUGGCGGGUUUGGGAAAGAUUGCGCCUUUGGGUGUUUUCGGUGGGGGAUGGGCUCGCGGCCUAUCAGCUUGUUGGUGGGGUGAUGGCCUACCAAGGCGGUGACGGGUAGCCGGCCUGAGAGGGUGGACGGCCACACUGGGACUGAGACACGGCCCAGACUCCUGCGGGAGGCAGCAGUGGGGAAUAUUGCACAAUGGGCGCAAGCCUGAUGCAGCGACGCCGCGUAAGGGAUGGAGGCCUUCGGGUUGUGAACCUCUUUCGCCAGUGAAGCAGGCCUGCCUCGUUUGUGGGUGGGUUGACGGUAGCUGGAUAAGAAGCGCCGGCUAACUACG